Molecule: long non-coding RNA, 283 nt
Filed under: Phaseolus vulgaris (common bean)
Lineage: Eukaryota; Viridiplantae; Streptophyta; Magnoliopsida; Fabales; Fabaceae
Description: long non-coding RNA (PVUL_LNC002342)
Source: RNAcentral
AAAAAUUCAUUAAGAAAGAAUGUUAUUUUGUUUUGAGAAUUUUAAAUUAAUUAGAUUGCUAAUAAAUGUGGAAAUAGAUUUAUCCUCAUUAACACUGUGUUUUGUUUCUAAGUGUGUGUCCAAUGAGGAGGGAGGAAGGGUGUUUCUAGUGUUUGUUUAAGUAGUUUCGAGAGUAAAGGAGUGGAUGAGAGUAUUUUUUUAUUUUUCACACAAAUGAAGAGAUUGGUACUCAGAUUCCAGUUAGGAUUAUUGGAUUUUACCCAAAUAUCAUUGUGUAUAAAUU